Molecule: ribosomal RNA, 445 nt
Filed under: uncultured bacterium
Lineage: Bacteria
Description: bacterial SSU rRNA
Rfam family: Bacterial small subunit ribosomal RNA
Source: RNAcentral
GAUGAACGCUAGCGGCAGGCUUAACACAUGCAAGUCGAGGGGUAGAGGAAGCUUGCUUCCUUGAGACCGGCGCACGGGUGCGUAACGCGUAUGCAACCUACCUUUUACAGAGGGAUAGCCCAGAGAAAUUUGGAUUAAUACCUCAUAGUAUUUUCGAAUCGCAUGAUUUGAUUAUUAAAGUUCCAACGGUAAAAGAUGAGUAUGCGUCCCAUUAGCUAGAUGGUAAGGUAACGGCUUACCAUGGCAACGAUGGGUAGGGGUCCUGAGAGGGAGAUCCCCCACACUGGUACUGAGACACGGACCAGACUCCUACGGGAGGCAGCAGUGAGGAAUAUUGGACAAUGGGCGCAAGCCUGAUCCAGCCAUGCCGCGUGCAGGAAGACGGUCCUAUGGAUUGUAAACUGCUUUUUAANACAGGAAGAAACACCUCUACGUGUAGAGACUU